GACAGAGGUGGCGAGCGUUGUUCGGAUUUAUUGGGCGUAAAGCGAACGCAGGUGGUUUGGUAAGUCAGAGGUGAAAGACCACAGCUUAACUGUGGCACUGCCUUUGAUACUGCCUUUCUAGAGUGCAUGAGGGGGGAAGCGGAAUUCCGAGUGUAGAGGUGAAAUUCGUGGAUAUUCGGAGGAACACCGGUGGCGUAGGCGGCCACCUGGCUCGGAUCUGACGCUGAGGUGCGAAAGCGU
Molecule: ribosomal RNA, 240 nt
Filed under: uncultured bacterium
Lineage: Bacteria
Description: partial 16S ribosomal RNA
Rfam family: Bacterial small subunit ribosomal RNA
Source: RNAcentral